RNAcentral lists this ribosomal RNA (789 nucleotides) under uncultured bacterium. RNAcentral describes it as "bacterial SSU rRNA". It matches the Rfam family "Bacterial small subunit ribosomal RNA", at positions 8 to 796 of the family's 1533-position model. The record is from RNAcentral.
AGAGUUUGAUCAUGGCUCAGGAUGAACGCUAGCGGCAGGCUUAACACAUGCAAGUCGAGGGGUAGAGGUUGCUUGCAACCUUGAGACCGGCGCACGGGUGCGUAACGCGUAUGCAACCUACCUUUUACAGAGGGAUAGCCCAGAGAAAUUUGGAUUAAUACCUCAUAGUAUAUAUCUUUCGCAUGUUAGGUAUAUUAAAGUUCCAACGGUAAAAGAUGGGCAUGCGUCCUAUUAGCUAGAUGGUAAGGUAACGGCUUACCAUGGCUACGAUAGGUAGGGGUCCUGAGAGGGAGAUCCCCCACACUGGUACUGAGACACGGACCAGACUCCUACGGGAGGCAGCAGUGAGGAAUAUUGGACAAUGGGCGCAAGCCUGAUCCAGCCAUGCCGCGUGCAGGAAGAAGCAUCUAUGGUGUGUAAACUGCUUUUGUACAGGAAGAAACAUCCCGACGUGUCGGGACUUGACGGUACUGUAAGAAUAAGGAUCGGCUAACUCCGUGCCAGCAGCCGCGGUAAUACGGAGGAUCCAAGCGUUAUCCGGAAUCAUUGGGUUUAAAGGGUCCGUAGGCGGUUUGGUAAGUCAGUGGUGAAAGCCCGCAGCUCAACUGUGGAACGGCCAUUGAUACUGCCAGACUUGAAUUACAAGGAAGUAACUACAAUAUGUAGUGUAGCGGUGAAAUGCUUAGAUAUUACAUGGAAUACCAAUUGCGAAGGCAGGUUACUACUUGUGGAUUGACGCUGAUGGACGAAAGCGUGGGGAGCGAACAGGAUUAGAUACCCUGGUAGUCC